UAAGGAAUCUUGCACAAUGGGGGAAACCCUGAUGCAGCGAUGCCGCGUGAGUGAAGAAGGCCUUUGGGUUGUAAAACUCUUUCGUCGGGGAGGAAAAUGACUGUACCCGAAUAAGAAGGUCCGGCUAACUUCGUGCCAGCAGCCGCGGUAAUACGGAGGAUCCAAGCGUUAUCCGGAUUUAUUGGGUUUAAAGGGUCCGCAGGCGGAAUAUUAAGUCAGUGGUGAAAUCCUACAGCUUAACUGUAGAACUGCCAUUGAUACUGAUUUUCUCGAGUACACCUGAAGUGGGCGGAAUGUGUCAUGUAGCGGUGAAAUGCUUAGAUAUGACACAGAACACCAAUUGCGAAGGCAGCUCACUAAAGUGUAACUGACGCUGAGGGACGAAAGCGUGGGUAGCGAACAGG
RNAcentral lists this ribosomal RNA (404 nucleotides) under uncultured bacterium. Its description in RNAcentral is "bacterial SSU rRNA". It matches the Rfam family "Bacterial small subunit ribosomal RNA", at positions 355 to 776 of the family's 1533-position model. The record is from RNAcentral.